Molecule: long non-coding RNA, 1015 nt
Organism: Lolium rigidum
Lineage: Eukaryota; Viridiplantae; Streptophyta; Magnoliopsida; Poales; Poaceae
Exons: 3
Source: RefSeq, a predicted model, not a curated record
ACAAGGCAGCUUGUUUUGAUGCCCUUGAGAGUUUGCCAGCCUUCUUAAAUUAUGUGUGCUUAAUUGCUUUUGUUACUAUUUGGCCCGAUGCCAAAAUUUAGUCAAGGUUAUGUUUUAUUUUCCCCCGGUUCAUAUUUGGAGACUAAAAGAGCAAAUAUUUGAGUUGCCAAUUUGAUAUGCGGAAUUUGACUUGGUUUUCAUUGGCUUCUUUUAGGCACAAAACCAAUCAGAACUUUUUCUUUUGCAGCAUUUAUUUGCUUUCUUUGUUUCUGCCUUCUCAUUGUUGCAUGAUCCUUUUGAGGAUCCUUGGGUUGCUGAAUUUAUUCAUGAGAAUUUUCCGUCAGGAAAGCCACAUGAUUAGCAGGAACCGUGUUUCGCUACAUCAUAUCUUGCUUGAUGGAACUUUGCAUGCACACUGACCAUGGAACUCACUCAUGGUAGGUGGGAACUGGAUACCGUGCAUUCAAAAGGUUAUUGUGUGGUUAUAUUUAGAUAUAUUUUAUAAAUUUCCUGUUGCUUGUGCUAAUAUGUAUUAUAUUGAGUUAUUGGCAUUCUUAUAUGAUUUUCAGAUAUUCUGAGUCAUGCUAAUAUGCUAAUUGGAUCUUUGGUUGUAUUCAAUAUGGUCGUUGACUUGUUACAAUAUUUCAGAGAUCUAGCAGUGUAAAAUAAAGUAUAUGGAAAUCUGAAGUCGCAGAUUUUUGGUAGUUGCAGUGCGGAUAUUUGGAGACCUCAUGAUUUGUGUUUUGAACCCGACCCUGAUUAAAAAAUCUGGUCCAAAAUUAUGUGGUGUACAAUAUCUCAAUUUUUUUUGUGAAAUAUGGUGCUUAAAUCGUCAAUGAGGCCGACCUGGUCGACGGUGUGAUUUGGCUGGCCGCGUGGACCGCCGGUCAAGGAGAUGUGGCGUCCUUGCCAGCCUCGUCAUGGCCGCUCAUCAAGUCGACGGCGGCUGCUCCCACGGUACCCUGUCAAUUAUGCAUUUUAUAAGGGAUAUUGCAUUCCCUAAAAAGGAUGGGUA